CCUCGUCAGCGACUCAACAGGGUGGGAAAAGGGGGCCUCCCUGCUCUUCUUCGCAAAAAACACCACCACGUCCAGGUGUGCUGCUGGGCGAAAAGAAGAGAAAUCAUAAUUUAAAUUAAACAGUAUUUGGAAGGGGAAAGGAAGGAGAUUGCAAGAACUUCAGCAAAUGACAAAGCCAGCCAGAUGGAGUACUGUGGGUUGUACUGCAGAGCACACUGCAGAGAUUUGGACAAGACAGAAUUAUUCUUGGAAUGGAUUUCCAUGCACUUCAGAAUUUACAACUCUUGUAAGAUAUGUUCUUGUGAAUGAAUCAGUGACACCGAUAGCGAGAUGGAGUAAAGCUGAUCUAAAAGUUUUGUUUUCAAGAAAGUACUGCCUCAAGAUAACAAGAAUGGAAAGUCAAAUGUCUUCUACGGCAACCUAAUGCAAGUUAAGUUGAGUGUUGCCAGCAGGCCGAGGGAGGUGAUCCUUCUGCUCUACUCAGCACUGGUGAGAUGCAUCUGGAAUGCUGCGUUCAGUUCUGGGCUUCCCAGUACAAGAGAGACAUGGACAUGCUGGAG
This is a long non-coding RNA of Apteryx rowi (Okarito brown kiwi), 560 nucleotides long. Lineage: Eukaryota; Metazoa; Chordata; Aves; Apterygiformes; Apterygidae. The record is from Ensembl.